This 5863-nucleotide long non-coding RNA is filed under the name Homo sapiens (human). RNAcentral describes it as "non-protein coding lnc-TPPP-2:5". The record is from RNAcentral. Lineage: Eukaryota; Metazoa; Chordata; Mammalia; Primates; Hominidae.
GUGGGCGGAACCAAGAGCCUGGCGGGGGGUUCUCCUGAAUGGCGGUUCUCCCAGAACCUCCAGAGAUGUCACAGGCCCAGCACUGUGGCUCGUGGCUGACCGCGCCCUGGAGGGUCUCGCUGUGUUUAUCCUUGUGAGGUCCUUCUACAGAGCUUUCAAGGAAGACAGAGUUCAGCCUGUUUAUUGGGAAGACUUUAAUCCUGCUCAAGACAUCUACUGUGUCACCGUACCACUGUGGCCCAGCGCCUGGUGGAGUGAAUCCAGACCCCCAGGGGUGUCCCCUCCCCGCCUUUCUCCUGGUGUCUAGGGGCACCCAGAAACCCUCACCCCAGAUUAGACCAGCUCGUUGGCAACAUCCCUGGUAUGUCACAGCCUGGGGGGUGAUAGACAAGGCAGGGUAGUGGUGGGGGGUACGUAUGGUGGUAGUAGACGAGGGUAUACACAGACAGAGGGUGUACAUGGGGAAUGUGUGCAGGGGCUGUGUGCAGGGAGUGUGUGUGGAUGGUGUAGGGGAGUGUGUAGGGGAGUGUGUAGGGGGUGUGUGCAGAGGUUGUACACGGGGUGUGCAGGAGGUGUACUCAGAAUGUGUUCAGGGAGUGUGUGCAGAAGGUGUACAUGGGGUGUAUGCAGGAGGAGUGUGCAGAGGGUGUACAUGUAGGGGGUGUGUGCAGACAGUAUACAGAAGGGGUGUGUGCAGAGGAUGCACACAGGGUCUCUGCAGGGAGUAUGUGCAGUGCUGUACAUAAGGAGUAUGCAGGGGGUAUAUACAGGGUGUAUGUGCAAGGGGUGUGUGCAACAGUGUGUGCAGGAGGUGUGUGCAGGGUCUAUGUGUGGGGGUGUGUGCAACAGUGUGUGCAGGAGGUGUGUGCAGGAGGUGUGUGCAGGAGCUAUGUGUGGGGGUGUGUGCAACAGUAUGUGCAGAGGUGUGUGUAGGGGCUAUGUGUGGGGGUGUGUGCAACAGUGUGUGCAGGAGGUGUGUGCAGGAGGUGUGUGCAACAGUGUGCAGGGGGUGUACACAAGGUGUGUGCAGGAGGUGUGUGUAGAUGUGUGUGCAGGAGGUAUACACAGGGUUUGUGCAGAGGAUGUGUGUGGGAGGUGUGUGCAGGGGAUCUGUGCAGGGAGUGUACACAGGCUGUGUGCAGAGGCUAUGUGCAGGGGGUGUGUGCAACAGUGUGCAGGGAGUGUACACAAGGUGUGUGCAGGAGGUGUGUGCAGAGGUGUGUGCAGGAGGUAUACAUGGUGUGUGAAGGUAUGUGUAGAGGUGUGUGCAGGGGGUAUACACAGGGUUUGUGCAGAGGAUGUGUGAGGGAGUUGUGUGCAGGGGAUCUGUGCAGGGAGUGUACACAGGCUGUGUGCAGGGGGUAUGUGCAACAGUGUGCAGGGGGGGUGUGUGCAGAGGUGUGUGCAGGGGGUGUACACAGAGGGUGGUGGCAGGCGGUGGAUGCAAGGCUGCAUCUGUUCAGCCCAAGACGUUCCAUUGGUCCAGUGGUGUUAGAGCACAUUUGGUCAGGUUGCCUUCAUGGGAUAUUUGACAAGCUGCAAACCCGAGGGCAUGCUGGUGCCCGAGGGCGCCUCCGUGCUGACCUCAGCAUGUGCAGCAAGAGCCAGGGCACAGGGGCGGCCUGGCCCAUUUCAGGCAGGUGCUCUGUGGGAGGGUGGCUGUCUCCACUGACAACCCAGGGAGGUCAGCAAGGAGGAGCCCUGAGGUGGACUCGAAAGCUGUGGGAGCUGAUGGCCCUCCUGGUCUCUGCCACAGCCCUUAGGCUGUGGGACACACAGCGUCACAUUUGAUCACUGUUCAUGGGGCCUGCCGAACACUCAGCAUUCCUGAGUGCAGAUCGUCACGUAACUUUCCAAAAAUUGCAAACCCAGAUAUGGCUCCAUGACCCCUCCUGCAAGACUGUGAAGGAGUUCAGGGCACAGCUGAGCCCUCACACCCCCAGCCCCAUCACUGCCCCUGAUAUGCACUGAGUGGAAUUCUGUCCCGCCAGGAGACAAACAGUGGACAGCAUCCUGGCUCUUCAGAAGCACAUGACGAUGGCAAACUGAAGGCCUCAUGGGCCCUCACCCAACAGCAGUGGCUUUUCAGGGCAUAACACAGGCCCCAAACACUGAGCCUCUUCCUCCUGGGCAGGUACCCAGCUGGCCAGACAGGGCAGGGUAGGGGCGAGUGGGACCUCAGUGGGCAGCCGGUCCAGGACAGAACCACACGGGGAUGUGAUGGAAGUACCAAUGGGAACUUUGAAAACAAUGCCUCUGCUCACCAAAGUAUCCCAGCUUCACUGUAGAAAAUAUAGACACUACAGAAGGGCACCGAGAUUCGAUAUGCCGCCCUGCUGAGAUAACCCACACUAACAUGCCCACAUGUAUCCUGCAGGUGUUUUUCAAGCCUGUGCGUAUUGACAGUCAUGAGGCUAUGCUAAGCAUUGCCGGAUGCAUCUGCCACUAAGUAGUCUUUAACGUUGUUUAUUAAACACUUUUAAUGGUCACGUUAGAUCAUAAACCAAACCCAACUUUAUUAUCCUGUCUUCUGCUGCUGAAAGUUGUGUCUGUCUCCACUUCCUCACGGUGCUCACUCUGGUUGGCCAAAUCAUGAAGAUCCAUGGAGGCGCGGGAGCCUUCCGGCCUGGAAUGGGGCAGCAAAAGCACAGAGCCGCAGAGAAGCCGGGAAAGCAAAGGCAGGGGCUGCUGGGCUGGGCCCCAUCAGCCCCAUGGCAGCGGCACCCGCACAGGCCUGGGGUCCCCAGCAGCAGGGAUGCUGUCUGUGGGCCCAGGGCUCCUCCACAGCUUUGGGGGCUUCCUGCCAGAGGAGGGGGGUGGUUCUCCUGGGAGGGGCCCCAAGACAGGAGUCCCCAGACCUGGGCACGCCUCACCUCGGGUAGGGCCCCAACGCUUCAGCGGGUCUCACUGGCAUCCCUAAACCUAGACCACAGGAGAGUGUGCUGUGCCAUCAUCACGAUGACCCCUCCCCAUCCCAGCGCACGCUCCCACGACGCACCGUGCUCACAGUGACCCCUCCCCAUCCCAGCGCACGCUCCCACAAUGUGCCGGGAUCACAGUGACCCCAUGGGCUACCUGCCGCUCCCAAGGACUAAUGGAGGCCUCUGUCCCCAGGUUCUAUCCCGGGUUCCUCACAGGGCACCAGCCCUCAGGCCCAGUUAAAUUCCGGAGCGGCUCUUUAAGCCCACAGGCCCAGGCCGCUAUGGUAGGACCCAGGUGGGAGAGGCUCUCCGUGUGCUGUCUCCCUGACAGGUGCCCCAUCCAUAGCUUUCUAGAACAUCCCAGGGAGGCUCCCAGGCCCCGAGCCUCAAUCCUCAAGCCUGUGGGUCCCAGACUGCAGGCUCAGUGAGCCCUACAGAGACCAGGCCAGCGGAAGGAAACAGGGAGACCCACAUGGUCAGAGAAGAGGGCUGGAGGUUCAGCCUGAGGGGCCUCUGGGCUUUCUCUAAACAGAGCGGGGGUGGGAGGAGGCUGUGAUGUACAGUGAGGGGACUUGAGAGGGAAAUGGGGGCCUCCACCCACCCCAGGGACGAGCGCUCACCCCAGGCCCACCUGGCUCGCAGCAUCCAAGCCAGGGCUACGCAGAGCAGCUGCUCCCAAACCCAGCUCCCUCUGGGUGCCUGAGCCAGGCUCAGAGAUGCAUCCUGCAUCGUUCUUUCUCCAUCCUGUGUCAACAAGACAACACAGGCAACCAGCGUGGCCAUGCUGGAAAUCCACAGCCUAGCGGAGCGGCCUCGCCUGCAUUCAUGUGGCCAGUGGAAUUCGCGGCACACACAUUCGCACUGUCACGCUCAGUUCACGUGUGCACACGCUCACAGCCACAGCACACUCACAGUUCACACACCUCACACGCAUACAUACACAGGUGUACGUGCACAUGCACACUCACGUACACACCCACCCACACACAGUCUCACACCCAGGUUCACACCCACACAUGGACCUCAAUCCACCGGUACCUGCCACACACCCACACGCGGACCUCCAUCCCACUCCAAGGCCUUUCCCCACAUCCCCGGGCGGCAGGAGCCCAGCGGUCAGUGCAGAGGCAUGGACGAGGGCCAGGGAGGCAGGUGGCACGAGCCACCUGCUCUCCACAUCCUUCUCGAGAGGAAAGGAGGUGCCGGCCCACCCUGCCCACAGCUCCUCGGCGAAGCCGCGUCUGGUCCAGGGCCAGCCGCCCCUUUGCUGGUUUCAGUUCCUCCUUUAUCCAUUCAUAAACGUUGAACAAAAGCGCUCUUUUCCCUCACGGUAUCUCUAGCAGUUAAGAUCAACACCAAUAUUUGAGAACUGUCAAUACUGCAUUUUACCCACUUCCCAAAUGUGAAACCGGAAGGCACACGUAGCCCUUGCUGGGCUGUUUCCAGUGAACACAGUUGAGGGUGGGCUUGGGGGUUCUCCGCAUCGUAAUGUCUUAGGAGGGGGUGGGGCCACACCUUCCCACCUUGUCCGAGUAACAGGCCACGUGUGCGGUUUAGUUCACACCGUGGAGGAGGGGAGUGUGAGGGCAGCGGGUGGGCCGCUGUGUCCUGGUCUCUGUCCUGCUGUGUGGCCAGGGAGGGAGUGCGGCUGUCCGAUUUAGGUUGAAACACCGUCCAUCGGCAUCUCUGGGGGAUGUUGCCACUGCCCUUGACUCCUGCCCUUGUGUCUGGAAAGGGGAGGCUUCAGAGUGAGUGGCCCACAGCCUUCCAGUUGCAGGAGCUGGUGUGGGAAGGGGCAUCCCCAUGGCUGUGGGCCGGAGCCCUGUAAUAAUGGGAAGUUUCAGUGCCCUCAUAGGAGUUUCACUGGAGCAGGUAAAUCGGUCUGGGAGCUUGUGAACCGCUCUGGGCUGCUGGGGCUGCACUGACAACAAGCACAGAGCCCAGCUACAAGUGGCGUGGCUGCAGGAGACGCCCUGGAGACCUGAGACAGGCUGGGUGUCUCUGCUGUCCCAGGACAGAACCCAGCUACAAGUGGCGUGGCUGCAGGAGACACCCAGGAGCCCCCAGGCAGGGUGGGCGGCUCUGCUAUCCCAGGACUGGGUCAGGACAGCUCAGCCCUCGCAGUCCUCAGCCAAGUGCUGCCCCGCUCUGCAAGGGGCCCAGAGGGCUCCCAGAGGCCUGCGGACCAGUGCUAGGCCUCACAUCCCUGAACCACUCCCUGACCUCACAUCCCUGAACACAUGCAGGGGCCGGGCCUCAGCUGGGGGGCAUGGCACUGGGUGAGGUCAGAGGUGCUCCAAGCAUGUGGCCUAGAAGGUUUGUCCAAAACAAAUUCUCUCCUGGACCCUGGAGGGGAAGCAGAAGCCGGCUGCUUCCUAUAGUUCCCAACACCAGAAAGCCCAGGACUUCUCAGGGAAAUCUUGGUUUCCAGCUUUUUCCGAAAGUGCCUGAUGGGCAGGCAUUCACUCCUUUCAGACAAGCCCCCCAGCCCUUCAGCCACUGAGCCGUGACCCUCUCCCCAGGAAGGACUGGUGGGGCUGGGGCACUGCCACCACCUGGAGCCCCAUCUUCAGCCGCCUGGCAGGAGCUGCACCUGCACAUGGCACCCGUGAACUCCGGCAUCUUCCUCUGUCCUCCCAGGCACUCGGCAUCUUCCAGGGCUGCUGCCUCCUGAGCCCACUCGAUAUGGUUUAGAUGUUUGUCCCCACAGAUCUCAUGUUGAAAUGUAAUCACCAGUGCUGGAGGUGGGGGCUGGUAGGAGGUGUUUGGAUCACAGGAGUGGGUCCUUCCUGAAUGGCGUGGGUCAUCCUGUUGGUGAUAAGUGAGUUCUCACUCUGGUAGAUCUGGUAGUUUAAAAGUGUGUGGUGGCUGGGCGCAGUGGCUCACACCUGUAAUCCCAGCACUUUGGGUGACUGAGGAGGGUGGAUCACUUGAGGUCAGGA